GAUAAAGUUGAAACAAACAAACAAGUAUGAAAAACUAGACAGAUUGUAAAACAAAUUUGAGAAAUAAGAUGAUGGAUGGGAUAGCUAGAGGCUUUUUCUCCACGCAUGACAUGUAUGUAAAUAACUUGAUUUCCAGUUACCACUUCAUUGAAUUAUGAACGACAAUGCUCCAAAUUAACCGUGACAUCACUAGUUAACUCUCAGAUUUUCCUUGUUUUAUUGGAUUGGAUGACAUCAUUCGACAACCCAAAACAUUCUUCAAAAGUUCCCUACAUGACAUCAUAAUAGAGAUACAAUCAAAGCUCAUUACGUUUAAUGAAAAUCAUAAGCAUUGACAAAGCACUUGCAACUAUGACAUCAUGUCGCUUAUGCUAGGAAUUGAACUUAACGCGAUCAUUUAUAAGCGACGUUCACUACAUGGGAAUAUAAGUUUGUAACGAUUAUGUGAAACUUCCUUAGAUUCUAGCAACGGAUUUAUGCAUGCCAAUUAAGUGUCGACCCUUAAUUAACAAAUACAAAUAAGUUAUCAAUCAAAUAGUUAAGCCAAUUACAUUCACGAUUCAAGAGUUCAUAACUAGAAUUUAUCAAAUUAUAUUGCACACAUAAUCAUGGCUUUGAAAUCACCCCUAGCCAAGAGGGGUUUAGCCACUCAUAUUUACAACAAAACGAAAGGAAAUGAAUUUCAACAUUAGAAAAAAAAGAAAGAAAACACCUAAACGCUCAAACGAUCCAAGUUGGACAGCAAACACGUCCAAGCACUUUCCUUCCCUUUCUUUGCUACGGCACAAGGUGUUGGUGAGUGUUUGAAGGUUUGUUGGUAUAGAGGAAUGGAUGUGAAGAUGAAUGGAUGUGUUUGGAUGAAGGUUGUAUUGAAAUGGGGAUGAAUGAUCAAGCCAAAAUUGAACUCCAUUUAUGUUACACACACUUCCUUUUAUAGAGGAAGUGCAUGGUAAUGGAGGGGAACAUGGAGUGGUGUAGCAAUUGAGUGCAAUGAUGCAUGAAAUCUGAAAUGAUGGAGGGAACAAGGAAUGGUGUAGCAAUUGAGUGCAAUGAUUCAAUGUAAUGAUGCAUGAAUCUGAAACGAUGGAAGGAACAAGGAAUGGUGUUGCAUGAAAUCUGAAAUGAUGGCAGGAACAAGGAAUGGUGUAGCAAUUGAGUGCAAUGAUUCAAUGUAAUGAUGCAUGAAUCUGAAAUGAUGGAGGGAACAAGGAAUGGUGUAGCAAUUGAGUGCAAUGAUUCAAUGUAAUGAUGCAUGAAAUCUUAAAUAAUGAAGAGGAGAAGGGUGACGAUGCACGACAUGGGUGGAAAUUGGAGUGAUUUAUGGCAGAAAAUAGGAAAGGGAUGGCUCCCUUGCACGGCAAGGAAGAGAAAUGGUGAAGGAUGAUAUGGCUUGGACUUUUAAGGGAGGUUUAGGACUUGUAGAAUAUGUAAUGAAAUGUCCCAAAGUAUUUAGAAACCCUUCGUGUGACUGUAUCUUUGGUAAUUUAGAUUAGAAAAUGUAAAGACAAGAUAAGGCAAGUUUGACUAGUCUUUCCUCUUUCUUGAUGGUUUCCUUGUCUUCCUUGGUCCUCUAUUUAUUUUCUUCCUCUCCUUGGUACAUUCCUAGCUUCUUUAGAUCUUUAAUUUCAUCCAACCACUUUGCUCCAUGCAUGUGCUAUCCAUUCCAAGCCUAAAACUGCUCUGAAAUGCACCAAAAUGCACCUUAUUUCAUACUUUGUCCUUAGAACUUGAAAUUGCACGAAAAUGACUUUAAACACUAAAACAACUAAGGAAUAACAACAUAAAUGCAUGAGAACAAGCUAACUCAGUCGCAUAAAUAUGCUCCUAUCAAAUUCCCCCACACUUAGCUUUUGCUAGUCCUCAAGCAAAACAAAAGAAACAAAACGAAACGAAACAAACAAAACACAACCUAGACCUUCCAACAUUUGCCUCAUGGAUUUUUUAUGAAACAUGACAUGUUAAAAAUCAUCAUUCCCAUAGAUUUUGGUCAUCUUUACACUUGAGCACAUACUUAAUCACAGCCACCACUUACUAGUUCACAAUUAACCAAUUAAAACGAUGUUUUGAAUGUAGUAACAUGCCUUAGAGAAUUUGCUCAAUUUCUUACAAGAUACUCUCUAUUUUCACACACAUUUUCUGACUACACACCCUAUACUAGUAUAUGUGAGAAGAUUAAUGUAAACACGAAAGACUAGGACUCACAUAUGUUAUAACAAAGAAAGCAAUUUUCUGGAGUUAUUAAGCAUGAUUAGAUAUGAUCUCAUGAAUGGAAUGCUACUACUUAGAUGCGAGAACCAGUGACACCAUAUGCUCAUACCAAUUUCGAACUCCACAAAUUGAAACACACAACACUCACGAUUGAAGUUAAGGGUUGUAACAGGGCUUGGGGGUAAUGGCUAAUAAAGAAAGGAUAGGAAUAACAAACGUUUUUAAAGCGAUAGCAAGCAAAGCAAUGAAAUAGACACUUAGAAUUCACUUUAGAAUACAGAAUCAACUUUUAAAUAUAAAAGGAAGAUUCAUGCAACACUUAGGGCUGAAUUCAAUGUUUUGGACCAUUUUUUAACAAACAACACUUUAGAGCUCUUUUUCAUACUCUUUUCAAUUCUUUUUCUUUUCACUCUUUUUUUUUCUUUUCUACCCGCACCUUAUUAAAGACUUUGCCGCACACACACACACAAUAAUCACUUCCCCCACACUUGCUUUCUGCAAUACAUUGAUAAAAAAGGAGUUCAUUUUAAGUCAUGCUUUACUAUGCUUCAAGAACAAAGGUAUGGAUGGUCCUAAAACUAGGCUAGGUAAGGAUAGUGUGGAUUAACAAAGAACAUAGGCUUAACAAGGCUCAACGGGGUUAAACUUAAACACAUAAUGAAAUAGGGGCACGGCAAUUUGGCUUUGGUGGUUACUACAUAACUUCAUCUUGAAUAUGUGUUAUGCAAAUCAAUAGCAUGCUUUGAAUGAAAUAGGCAUGAGUUCUAGCAUUUGGAACUAAAUGAUGAAACGCCUUCUAAGUAGCAACCAAGCAAAGAAUAAUGAGAUCAUGCAAUGACUUUAGAAAACAAUGAUGCACAGAUUAUUAACUCUCCAAAUAAACAUUUAGGCUCAAGUCUCACAAGGUUGUAGUGUUUAUUUGAGUUCCUUCCUUCAAGCAUGUUACAAAAACUUAUUUUUCCUUUAUGUUUGCAUGUGAAUUCAUAAACUAUAACCACAACCAAGCAGACACCAAAGAGUAAAUCAAAUUUUCAUCCAUGUUUAUAACUCUUUUUAACAGUCAUGUAAUUAAAAACCAAAUCUUCAUCAUUGUUUAGAAGGUACCCUAAGACACAAAUAAACACACAAAAACAACUCUUUUUGGGUUUUUCAAAACAAAUUUUCAAAUUUUUAUGAGAUUUUCAGAUUUUAUGUCAAAACACACUAAAACACUCCAAAACAGCAAGGAACAACACUAGAAGUAAUGGGUGAUAAACUCCUACGAAUUUCAUGCAAAACAACUUGGUUACCCCCCACACUUAAAUCAUACAUUGUCCUCAAUGUUUCAAGCAUAAACUCACACAAAAACAAGCAAACAAACAAACAACGAAUUAACAUGACAAGUAUGGCAAAGUAAAAACCAGACAUAGUAUAGUUUAAGAACGCAAAUUUGGUUUUGGAGAUAGAUGAUCUUGUUGACUUUCCACAGCUUUGAUCUCGAACUGGUUUGGAAUUCUGAGCGAGGAAUAUCAGAGUUCUUUGGUUUCAAAUUAGACCCCUUAUGUUGGGUUGAUUUGAUUGUGCAGUCUGCAUUCUUCUCUGCUUGUUUCUUCUUCACGGCAGGCAGGCACAAGGUAGAGGUGAUGGUCUGUUUGUUGGAAAUGUGCCCUAAAGCCAAUCAUAUGAUGAUACUUUACGGACAUUUCACAUGUUAAACUAAUCUAGUUUAAUAUAAAGGGCAAAGAUUAUUGUUUGAGCCGUCUCAUAUAAAUGUUAUAUGCUUAAAUGAUAAAGUCCAAGGAAUAUGUGAUUGGGAGAAUGUAAUCUAAUGAAGUUAGAUUCAUGAGACCAUUCUUUCGUAGACACAUCCUAAAUGUUCCUGAUCAUAGGAUUGCCAAUUGGGCAUUGACAGUCCAUCAAGAUCGGUACGUGCUAUGUCUUCUCUCCGGGAGAGUGACUAGUCUCGAGUCAUUGGUGUGUGUGUGACAUCAAGACAAGUACGUAGGUGCUCAAUAGAGAAUGAGUUCACUGAACGUGAUCGACGAAGAGUUCUCAUACUCAUGUCACAUGAGAACUCAUGGUUGGGAUAAUGCAAAGUAGUCCUUUGACCUGAGGCAUCAUCGUUGUCUUGUGGUUAAGUCCUUGAUCUUUGAUUAUGUCAAAGUCACUCCAUCAGGAGGGUGUCCACGGCAUCAUUGGGGUUAAGCCACUUAGCCAUGGAGGCAAGUGAAUGCGCAACAAGGGAUCUCUAACCUUCAAACUGUU
This 4452-nucleotide long non-coding RNA is filed under the name Malus domestica (apple). Its description in RNAcentral is "long non-coding RNA (MDOM_LNC005868)". The record is from RNAcentral. Lineage: Eukaryota; Viridiplantae; Streptophyta; Magnoliopsida; Rosales; Rosaceae.